RNAcentral lists this transfer RNA (64 nucleotides) under Cavia porcellus (domestic guinea pig). It matches the Rfam family "tRNA". Rfam says of the family: Transfer RNA (tRNA) molecules are approximately 80 nucleotides in length. The record is from Rfam by way of RNAcentral. Lineage: Eukaryota; Metazoa; Chordata; Mammalia; Rodentia; Caviidae.
GGGGAUUUAGCUCAGCAGCACAAGCACCUGCCUUGUAAGCAGGCGGUCGUGAGUUCAAUCCCCG